RNAcentral lists this long non-coding RNA (461 nucleotides) under Androctonus crassicauda. The record is from RNAcentral. Lineage: Eukaryota; Metazoa; Arthropoda; Arachnida; Scorpiones; Buthidae.
GUUUUUAAUAAAUUAAAACAAUAUAGCAUAUUCUCCUAUAUUUAAUUUAAUAAAUAUCUGUUAUUUUUAGAUCACAAUAGUGAACAUAAACGUUUAUAAAUAGAUAUCCACUUAUUUCAGGCAAAUAUAAUGUCCGCAAGGCUCGAAGAAACUACUGCCCCGUUUGCUACAUCCGUCCACAGCAAUAGGAGGGUGCGUUUCUUUAUGCAGCUGCUAUGUAGCGAUUUACGGCUAACCGUUUCUAAAUUAAACACUGCACUGCGGCGAACCGUUUUUAAAAUCUUCGCUGCAAGAUGUCGCUACAGCGGAUGUAAAGCACGUUUUUACCUCGCUUCAUGAAUAAAGUAAAUGAUGGAAAGUUGUACGAAUAAAAUGUACAUUUUAUGUGGAGAUAAAAAAAGUAUUAAUAUAAGAAGUAAUAUACCUUAGUGCUUAUAUGCUAUUUGAAAAAUAUUUAGAAC